CGGGGUGAGUAAUGUCUGGGAAACUGCCUGAUGGAGGAGGAUAACUACUGGAAACGGUAGCUAAUACCGCAUAACGUCGCAAGACCAAAGAGGGGGACCUUCGGGCCUCUUGCCAUCGGAUGUGCCCAGAUGGGAUUAGCUAGUAGGUGGGGUAACGGCUCACCUAGGCGACGAUCCCUAGCUGGUCUGAGAGGAUGGCCAGCCACACUGGAACUGAGACACGGUCCAG
RNAcentral lists this ribosomal RNA (229 nucleotides) under uncultured bacterium. RNAcentral's name for it is "partial 16S ribosomal RNA". It matches the Rfam family "Bacterial small subunit ribosomal RNA", at positions 104 to 334 of the family's 1533-position model. The record is from RNAcentral.